AUUGAACGCUGGCGGCAGGCUUAACACAUGCAAGUCGAACGAAGUGGCGAACGGGUGAGUAACGCGUAAUCAACCUGCCCUUCAGAGGGGGACAACAGUUGGAAACGACUGCUAAUACCGCAUACUGAAGGAGGGGAUUGCGUCUGAUUAGCUAGUUGGAGGGGUAACGGCCCACCAAGGCGAUGAUCAGUAGCCGGUCUGAGAGGAGGGACGGCGAGAUUGGGACUGAGAAACGGACCAGACUCCUACGGGAGGCAACAGGGGGGAAGCUUCCGCAAUGGACGAAAGUCUGACGGAGCAACGCCGAGGGAGUGAUGACGGGCUUCGGGUUGGAAAGAUCUGUUGAUCGGGACGCGGUAACGGAAGAGAAAGAUACGGAUAACUAAGUGCAAGCAGCCGCGGUAAUAC
RNAcentral lists this ribosomal RNA (408 nucleotides) under uncultured bacterium. RNAcentral's name for it is "partial 16S ribosomal RNA". It matches the Rfam family "Bacterial small subunit ribosomal RNA", at positions 29 to 526 of the family's 1533-position model. The record is from RNAcentral.